CGGACGAUGAGAUGGUCAUCAAGGAAACAAUGUGUGUGAUGCUCCUGACGAUUCAGUCCGGUCCUGCACUUGAGAAGGUCGACUUUACUCACCCGGAGGACAGCAUCUGAGAAAACAUAAAAGCAGAACACAGACUUGCGUGCUUGUACAGUCAUCCACAUAAUUCUUGACGACGACUUCCUUUGUGUCAUAAUCAUGGCAUUGAGCAACAAAACCAGAAACUGAACUGGAAACUGCUGCAGAAAGUGAACAGUAAGUCCUGCUUUAACCAGCUUGUGGCUCGUUCUGUAGUUUGUCUCUACAGCAGACGGGAUAUUUAUACUACAUCUCCAUCUCCACCCCAUCCACAGCUCAUAGCUGAAGUGUGAAUAGU
Carassius auratus (goldfish) is the source of this 373-nucleotide long non-coding RNA. RefSeq lists it as uncharacterized. NCBI's taxonomy places the organism in Eukaryota, Metazoa, Chordata, Actinopteri, Cypriniformes, Cyprinidae. The record is from RefSeq and is a predicted model, not a curated record. The transcript has 3 exons.